UCUGCCCCUACAGGCUUUGCACGUGGGGCUGUUGUAGGUGGCAGAGAGGAAAGCGGCUAUGUCUACACUCAGUGUUCUGACCUGUGAACAUCUGAAUGAUUAGUCACCUAACAGU
This is a small nucleolar RNA of Rattus norvegicus (Norway rat), 115 nucleotides long. Ensembl annotates it as small nucleolar RNA SNORA17. NCBI's taxonomy places the organism in Eukaryota, Metazoa, Chordata, Mammalia, Rodentia, Muridae. The record is from Ensembl.